RNAcentral lists this ribosomal RNA (460 nucleotides) under uncultured bacterium. RNAcentral describes it as "partial 16S ribosomal RNA". It matches the Rfam family "Bacterial small subunit ribosomal RNA", at positions 338 to 795 of the family's 1533-position model. The record is from RNAcentral.
CCUACGGGAGGCAGCAGUGAGGAAUAUUGGUCAAUGGACGAGAGUCUGAACCAGCCAAGUAGCGUGAAGGAUGACUGCCCUAUGGGUUGUAAACUUCUUUUAUAUGGGAAUAAAAUGUUCCACGUGUGGGAUUUUGUAUGUACCAUAUGAAUAAGGAUCGGCUAACUCCGUGCCAGCAGCCGCGGUAAUACGGAGGAUCCGAGCGUUAUCCGGAUUUAUUGGGUUUAAAGGGAGCGUAGGUGGAUUGUUAAGUCAGUUGUGAAAGUUUGCGGCUCAACGGGAAAAUUGCAGUUGAAACUGGCAGUCUUGAGUACAGUAGAGGUGGGCGGAAUUCGUGGUGUAGCGGUGAAAUGCUUAGAUAUCACGAAGAACUCCGAUUGCGAAGGCAGUUCACUGGACUGCAACUGACACUGAGGCUCGAAAGUGUGGGUAUCAAACAGGAUUAGAUACCCCUGUAGUC